RNAcentral lists this ribosomal RNA (253 nucleotides) under uncultured bacterium. RNAcentral's name for it is "partial 16S ribosomal RNA". It matches the Rfam family "Bacterial small subunit ribosomal RNA", at positions 524 to 776 of the family's 1533-position model. The record is from RNAcentral.
UACGGGGGGGGCAAGCGUUGUUCGGAAUUACUGGGCGUAAAGGGCUCGUAGGUGGCCAACUAAGUCAGACGUGAAAUCCCUCAGCUUAGCUGGGGAACUGCGUCUGAUACUGGAUGGCUUGAGUUUGGGAGAGGGAUGCGGAAUUCCAGGUGUAGCGGUGAAAUGCGUAGAUAUCUGGAGGAACACCGGUGGCGAAGGCGGCAUCCUGGACCAACACUGACACUGAGGAGCGAAAGCCAGGGGAGCAAACGGG